CUUCCGUGUACUGGAACAAACCUAUAGGUUUGCUACAGUACCAGGAGAAACUAAAAGUACUAUGGAGCAAACAAGAAGAAAUAGUUCUGUUCCUGUAUUCUCUUCCUCAUUGUUUUUUGUUCCUAUUUGCAAAUGAUCAACUGUACUUUCGACGAGCUCUCUUGAUUUGAACAUAUUGUCGCUGUGAAUUUAUCACCAUGAUACAUAUACAAGGUCAAAUGCGGAGCAGAACUACAGAUGAACUUCUAAUUUCAGUAUAUGCAUUUGCAAUGGAAAUUAACUUACGAUUGGCGCAUUGAAAUUUUUGGUGGACAAAAUUGAAGAUUCACCAUAUAUAAGUACUUACAUUUCAUUUUGACCCG
This is a long non-coding RNA of Topomyia yanbarensis, 362 nucleotides long. RefSeq lists it as uncharacterized. NCBI's taxonomy places the organism in Eukaryota, Metazoa, Arthropoda, Insecta, Diptera, Culicidae. The record is from RefSeq and is a predicted model, not a curated record. The transcript is spliced from 4 exons.